UCUUGACAUCCACGGAAUUUGGCAGAGAUGCCUUAGUGCCUUCGGGAACCGUGAGACAGGUGCUGCAUGGCUGUCGUCAGCUCGUGUUGUGAAAUGUUGGGUUAAGUCCCGCAACGAGCGCAACCCUUUAUCCUUUGUUGCCAGCGAUUCGGUCGGGAACUCAAAGGAGACUGCCGGUGAUAAACCGGAGGAAGGUGGGGAUGACGUCAAGUCAUCAUGGCCCUUACGAGUAGGGCUACACACGUGCUACAAUGGCGCAUACAAAGAGAAGCGACCUCGCGAGAGCAAGCGGACCUCAUAAAGUGCGUCGUAGUCCGGAUCGGAGUCUGCAACUCGACUCCGUGAAGUCGGAAUCGCUAGUAAUCGUGGAUCAGAAUGCCACGGUGAAUACGUUCCCGGGCCUUGUACACACCGCCCGUCACACCAUGGGAGUGGGUUGCAAAAGAAGUAGGUAGCUUAACCUUCGGGAGGGCGCUUACCACUUUGUGAUUCAUGACUGGGGUGAAGUCGUAACAAGGUAAGCGUAGCGAG
Molecule: ribosomal RNA, 531 nt
Filed under: uncultured bacterium
Lineage: Bacteria
Description: bacterial SSU rRNA
Rfam family: Bacterial small subunit ribosomal RNA
Source: RNAcentral